ACUUUUCUAAAUUAAAACCUAAACUUAAUCAGAUUUAUACUGGAUAAGUUUUCUCAUUGUAUUCAAAAACAAAUCGGCCAUGUCAGUUGUGUUAUUUGCGCGUUUUUUGGUCCCCGGAUAAUCUACAAAAAAAAACGGAAUGUUCCUGCCAGCUUCAAACCCAUUAACGGAUUGACGAAACUUCAAUGGAAUCUCUGCAUCGAAAUCGUAUUUGUGCAUGAUCCGGCCUGUUCCGGCAAUUUAAUCCCGCAAACCAGGAUGUGGAAAGUGUGCAACCGGCGGAUCGUGCUGAAGUGUGACAAUCUGUUCAGCAUAGUGGAAGAUUUUUGGAACCGUGCGAGUACUAUUUCCACCGACUGUUGGUACUGUUUGCCCGUCAAGUGCCAGAAUCUUAUUCUGGAUGGAAGUACAAGUUCAUUACUCGGAGCACGAUUGGAUGAUAGUGAUGAACCAGUAAGAUCGAUUUGAAUUUGUGCUGUUGGCCAUCUCCAAGCAUCUGUGUUGUUUUAAAUACGAAUGAAUAAAUUAUUGGUCGUAAUCUUUAA
Aedes albopictus (Asian tiger mosquito) is the source of this 545-nucleotide long non-coding RNA. RefSeq lists it as uncharacterized. The transcript is spliced from 2 exons. The record is from RefSeq and is a predicted model, not a curated record. NCBI's taxonomy places the organism in Eukaryota, Metazoa, Arthropoda, Insecta, Diptera, Culicidae.